RNAcentral lists this ribosomal RNA (253 nucleotides) under uncultured bacterium. Its description in RNAcentral is "partial 16S ribosomal RNA". It matches the Rfam family "Bacterial small subunit ribosomal RNA", at positions 524 to 776 of the family's 1533-position model. The record is from RNAcentral.
UACGAGGGGUGCAAGCGUUGCUCGGAAUCAUUGGGCGUAAAGGGUAGGUAGGUGGUCUCAUUUGUCUGAGGUGAAAGCCUUGAGCUUAACUCAAGAAGUGCCUCGGAAACGGUGAGACUGGAGUCCUGGAGAGGGUCGUGGAAUUCCCGGUGUAGCGGUGAAAUGCGUAGAUAUCUGGAGGAACACCGGUGGCGAAGGCGACGUCCUGGACCGGCAUUGACGCUGAGGCGCGAAAGCCAGGGGAGCAAACGGG